CAUUUGUUCUUUAAAUAAGGACUUGUAUGAAUGGCCACACGAGGGUUUUACUGUCUCUUACUUCCAAUCAGUGAAAUUGACCUUCCCGUGAAGAGGCGGGAAUAGACAAAUAAGACGAGAAGACCCUAUGGAGCUUUAACUAAUUAGUUUAAAGAAAAGAAACUUAACCACUAAGGGAUAACACUAAUCUCUAUAAACUAACAGUUUCGGUUGGGGUGACCUCGGAGAAUAAAAAAUCCUCCGAGCGAUUUUAAAAACAAGACACACAAGUCAAAUUGAACUAUCGCUUAUUGAUCCAAAAUUUGAUCAACGGAACAAGUUACCCUAGGGAUAACAGCGCA
This 341-nucleotide ribosomal RNA is filed under the name Eudorcas thomsonii (Thomson's gazelle). RNAcentral's name for it is "partial 16S ribosomal RNA". It matches the Rfam family "Bacterial large subunit ribosomal RNA", at positions 1966 to 2484 of the family's 2925-position model. Lineage: Eukaryota; Metazoa; Chordata; Mammalia; Artiodactyla; Bovidae. The record is from RNAcentral.